This 741-nucleotide ribosomal RNA is filed under the name Triticum aestivum (bread wheat). RNAcentral describes it as "partial small subunit ribosomal RNA". Lineage: Eukaryota; Viridiplantae; Streptophyta; Magnoliopsida; Poales; Poaceae. The record is from RNAcentral.
AUGGCAGGUCAGGGAGAGAUCGUGAGUGAUGUUUUCGGGAAGAAACCAGCGAGUGGAGAAGGUUUGAGGGAUGGGGGCCGUCCUCUUAUCAUUGACAUGGAGGCUGCUCGCAAGGCCAUCAGCGGCUUCCUGGUGGUUGGACGCCUCCUCUCCCCUUUCCANCUAGGUUUGUCGUCAAUACUCCAAAACCAGCUAGGGGUGGCACUAGAUGCACUUACAGCGACCACCCCCCAAGAGGUGGACAGCAACGACGGGAGGUUCAUCCUUAAUUUCGCCACUGAGAGUGACUGUCGAUUCGUGCUUAAGGCGCAACCUUGGCACUUCAAGCUGGAUGGGCUCAUCUUCGCCGAGUUCGACGGCAACGGUGACCCGACAAAGGUUGACCUUGGCGUCAUGACCAUAUGGGUCCAGGUACGCGAUCUUCCGUACGUGCUUAAGACGGAGAGUAUAGGGUGGUCUCUCGAGGAUCAACUGGGAGAGGUGCUGGAGGUAUCGCACUGCAACCAUGUAAUUGUUAAAUACUUGCGUGUGCGCGUGAAGAUCUUAUUGCAUGAACCUCUGAAGACUUUUGUAGAGUUUACCCCUUUAGGUGGUUCAAAGAUUCUUAAGUUUAAUGUAAAUUACGAGAAGCUACCUUUGUACCGUGAGUGUUGUGGGAUUGUGGGUCAUACUUCUGAGAGGUUUUGUAAAAUCCCAAGUGAGAAGAGAGUAGUUUGCUUCCCUAGAAAUCUUAGUGUUGAG